CAGCAGCCGCGGUAAUACAGAGGGUGCGAGCGUUAAUCGGAUUUACUGGGCGUAAAGCGUGCGUAGGCGGCUUUUUAAGUCGGAUGUGAAAUCCCUGAGCUUAACUUAGGAAUUGCAUUCGAUACUGGGAAGCUAGAGUAUGGGAGAGGAUGGUAGAAUUCCAGGUGUAGCGGUGAAAUGCGUAGAGAUCUGGAGGAAUACCGAUGGCGAAGGCAGCCAUCUGGCCUAAUACUGACGCUGAGGUACGAAAGCAUGGGGAGCAAACAGGAUUAGAUACCCAAGUAGUCCCUGUCUCUUAUAC
This 301-nucleotide ribosomal RNA is filed under the name uncultured bacterium. RNAcentral describes it as "partial 16S ribosomal RNA". It matches the Rfam family "Bacterial small subunit ribosomal RNA", at positions 509 to 807 of the family's 1533-position model. The record is from RNAcentral.